Molecule: ribosomal RNA, 253 nt
Filed under: uncultured bacterium
Lineage: Bacteria
Description: partial 16S ribosomal RNA
Rfam family: Bacterial small subunit ribosomal RNA
Source: RNAcentral
UACAGAGGGUGCGAACGUUGUUCGGAAUUACUGGGCAUAAAGAGCACGUAGGCGGCACCGCAAGUGUGGGGUGAAAUCCCACGGCUUACCCGUGGAACUGCCUGGCAGACUGCGGUGCUAGAGGUUGGUAGGGGAGAGCGGAACUCUUGGUGGAGCGGUGAAAUGCGUAGAUAUCGGAAGGAACAUCAGUGGCGAAGGCGACUUCCUGGACCAAUACUGACGCUCAGGUGCGAAAGCGUGGGGAGCAAACAGG